AGAGUUUGAUCCUGGCUCAGAUUGAACGCUGGCGGCAUGCCUUACACAUGCAAGUCGAACGGCAGCGCGGGGGCAACCCUGGCGGCGAGUGGCGAACGGGUGAGUAAUAUAUCGGAACGUGCCCUGGAGUGGGGGAUAACUAGUCGAAAGACUAGCUAAUACCGCAUACGAUCUACGGAUGAAAGUGGGGGACCGCAAGGCCUCACGCUCCAGGAGCGGCCGAUAUCUGAUUAGCUAGUUGGUGGGGUAAAAGCUCACCAAGGCGACGAUCAGUAGCUGGUCUGAGAGGACGACCAGCCACACUGGGACUGAGACACGGCCCAGACUCCUACGGGAGGCAGCAGUGGGGAAUUUUGGACAAUGGGGGAAACCCUGAUCCAGCAAUGCCGCGUGUGUGAAGAAGGCCUUCGGGUUGUAAAGCACUUUUGUCAGGAACGAAACGGUGAGGGCUAAUAUCCUUUGCUAAUGACGGUACCUGAAGAAUAAGCACCGGCUAACUACGUGCCAGCAGCCGCGGUAAUACGGGGGGUGCAAGCGUUGUUCGGAUUUAUUGGGCGUAAAGCGCGUGUAGGCGGUUUUAUAAGUCUGAUGUGAAAGCCCUGGGCUCAACCCGGGAAGUGCAUUGGAUACUGUAAGACUUGAAUACGGGAGAGGGCAGUGGAAUUCCUAGUGUAGGAGUGAAAUCCGUAGAUAUUAGGAGGAACACCGGUGGCGAAGGCGGCUGCCUGGACCGAUAUUGACGCUGAGACGCGAAAGCGUGGGUAGCAAACAGGAUUAGAUACCCUGGUAGUCC
Molecule: ribosomal RNA, 793 nt
Filed under: uncultured bacterium
Lineage: Bacteria
Description: bacterial SSU rRNA
Rfam family: Bacterial small subunit ribosomal RNA
Source: RNAcentral